This 86-nucleotide transfer RNA is filed under the name Flavobacteriaceae bacterium. RNAcentral describes it as "tRNA-Leu". It matches the Rfam family "tRNA". From Rfam's summary of the family: Transfer RNA (tRNA) molecules are approximately 80 nucleotides in length. Their secondary structure includes four short double-helical elements and three loops (D, anti-codon, and T loops). Lineage: Bacteria; Pseudomonadati; Bacteroidota; Flavobacteriia; Flavobacteriales; Flavobacteriaceae. RNAcentral also lists the same sequence under 1 other name. The record is from RNAcentral.
GCGCAUGUGGCGAAAUUGGUAGACGCGCCAGCUUGAGGGGCUGGUGUUCGAUUAUGAAUGUGCUGGUUCGAGUCCAGUCAUGCGCA